This is a non-coding RNA of Trichobilharzia regenti, 46 nucleotides long. The record is from Rfam. Lineage: Eukaryota; Metazoa; Platyhelminthes; Trematoda; Strigeidida; Schistosomatidae.
GUACUACUGAAGAGUCUCAAACUGGGACGAAACAGCUGUUCAGUAC